Long non-coding RNA from Hippocampus zosterae (dwarf seahorse), 902 nucleotides. RefSeq lists it as uncharacterized. The record is from RefSeq and is a predicted model, not a curated record. NCBI's taxonomy places the organism in Eukaryota, Metazoa, Chordata, Actinopteri, Syngnathiformes, Syngnathidae. The transcript has 2 exons.
AACCGGAGCCGACCGGGCUGUCCACGGGGAAUCAUCCACCCUCUCCCGGCGUAACUAAAGGUCACACAGCGAACAGCAGAGGUACGGCUUUUAAAUGCACCGCUGCCCUUUAACGGCAUCUGAGGCGGGACGCCAGUGCAUUCUCCUCACACAUGAACCUCACGCAGAUGAGGAGAAUACCACUGACAGCAGUUCAAAAGGGCAAUCGGACAGAUAAUUCCGUCCAAAUGCAAGCUCUUCAUUGAGAUUAAUGACUCCAGCACCUCUCAUAUUUGAUCAAUGUUGUCACAUGUUUCACUUGGGAAGUUUUGGCACUUCAUGCUAAAUUAAUGCUAACUUGCUUAUGUGAAGUUUUGAAUGAGUUGAAUGACGGGAUGUGGGAGUUUUGCUUCAUUACUUUGGAGCGGCAGUGGACUCUCACCAUUUGCCUGGCUAUGUCCAUUGUGCGGAACAGGGUGAUUUAGCCUCACAAAUUUAAAGUUUACUCUUGUAGACAUUGUGAUUCAUCAGCAUCUUUUACCUUGACACUAUUCAUCGCUCGCUUCAGUCGGCAAGUGUUCUUCCACGACCGGUGCUUUGUGUCUCGCUGCACUUUUGUUUUUCGACUUUUUGGAGUCACUGUUUACUCAGUCAGUCGUUUCAUCUGAAGAAGCAAAAUCACUCCCAGUGCUAGCCAAGUGUGUUAUUUGAAACCAUUCGAUUCUGUCAUUUAGUAGUUAGCUUGUAGGGAGGUUGCUGAAUUCCAACAUGCUCAUUUGAAGUUCUAAAUAAGGUGAACAAUGAGACCUGUUCAAGUGUGUUAUUUGAAACCAUUUGGUUCUGUCAUUUAGUAGUUAGCUUGUAGGGAGGUUGCUGAAUUCCAACAUGCUCAUUUGAAGUUCUAAAUAAGGUGAACAAUGAGA